This 60-nucleotide small RNA is filed under the name Sinorhizobium meliloti 2011. RNAcentral's name for it is "putative ncRNA". Lineage: Bacteria; Pseudomonadati; Pseudomonadota; Alphaproteobacteria; Hyphomicrobiales; Rhizobiaceae. The record is from RNAcentral.
CCGUGCGGAAGGGCUGUUUCAAUGAAUCAGUGAAACGCCCUGACAGAGCCGUGAAGAACU